This 463-nucleotide ribosomal RNA is filed under the name uncultured bacterium. RNAcentral's name for it is "partial 16S ribosomal RNA". It matches the Rfam family "Bacterial small subunit ribosomal RNA", at positions 28 to 507 of the family's 1533-position model. The record is from RNAcentral.
GACGAACGCUGGCGGCGUGCUUAACACAUGCAAGUCGAACGGAAAGGCCUUUUCUGUGUUACUCGCUUGGCUAACGGGUGAGUAACACGUGGGUGAUUUGCCCUGCACUCUCUGUUAAGUCUCGUCAACUGGGUCUAAUACCGGCUAGGUCCGCACUCCUGCUUGUGUGUUGGAAAGUUUUUUUGGUGUAGGAUGAGCCCGCGGCCUAUCAGUUUGUUGGUGGGGUAAUGGUCUUCCAAGGCGGCGACGGGUAGGCGGACUGAGAGGGUGGUCGGGCACAGUGGGGAUGGGAAACGGCCCAGACUCCUACGGGAAGCAGCAGUGGGGGAUAUUGCACAAUGGGCGGAAGCCUGAUGCAACGACGCCGCGGGGGGGAAGACGGCCUUCGGGUUGGAAACUCCUUUCGGCAGGGACGAAGCGUUUUGUGACGGUAACUGGUGAAGAAGCACCGGCUAACUACGUG